RNAcentral lists this small nucleolar RNA (134 nucleotides) under Rhinopithecus roxellana (golden snub-nosed monkey). RNAcentral's name for it is "Small nucleolar RNA SNORA70 (ENSRROG00000016684.1)". It matches the Rfam family "Small nucleolar RNA SNORA70". Rfam says of the family: snoRNA U70 seems to be exclusive to mammals and is a member of the H/ACA class of snoRNA which contain H (ANANNA) and ACA box motifs. H/ACA box snoRNAs are involved in the conversion of uridines to pseudouridines (5-ribosyluracil) a constituent of structural RNAs (transfer, ribosomal, small nuclear, and small nucleolar). The record is from Rfam by way of RNAcentral. Lineage: Eukaryota; Metazoa; Chordata; Mammalia; Primates; Cercopithecidae.
UUGCAGCCAAUUAAGCCGACUGAGUUCCUUUCCUCAUGGGGGCCCAGUGUGCAAUGGCUGCAAACAGCAGCUUCCCUGGUAGUGAUGCAGCCUGUUUGUUGUAUGGGUUGCUCUAAGGGACCUUGGAGACAGUC